This 429-nucleotide ribosomal RNA is filed under the name Chloroflexota bacterium. RNAcentral's name for it is "Chloroflexi bacterium partial 16S ribosomal RNA". It matches the Rfam family "Bacterial small subunit ribosomal RNA", at positions 355 to 776 of the family's 1533-position model. Lineage: Bacteria; Bacillati; Chloroflexota. The record is from RNAcentral.
UGGGGAAUAUUGCACAAUGGGCGCAAGCCUGAUGCAGCCAUGCCGCGUGUGUGAAGAAGGCCUUCGGGUUGUAAAGCACUUUCAGCGGGGAGGAAGGCGUUAAGGUUAAUAACCUUGGCGAUUGACGUUACCCGCAGAAGAAGCACCGGCUAACUCCGUGCCAGCAGCCGCGGUAAUACGGAGGGUGCAAGCGUUAAUCGGAAUUACUGGGCGUAAAGCGCACGCAGGCGGUCUGUCAAGUCGGAUGUGAAAUCCCCGGGCGCAGCCUGGGAACUGCAUUCGAAACUGGCAGGCUAGAGUCUUGUAGAGGGGGGUAGAAUUCCAGGUGUAGCGGUGAAAUGCGUAGAGGUCUGGAGGAAUACCGGUGGCGAAGGCGGCCCCCUGGACGAAGACUGACGCUCAGGUGCGAAAGCGUGGGGAGCAAACAGG